This 492-nucleotide ribosomal RNA is filed under the name uncultured bacterium. Its description in RNAcentral is "partial 16S ribosomal RNA". It matches the Rfam family "Bacterial small subunit ribosomal RNA", at positions 29 to 507 of the family's 1533-position model. The record is from RNAcentral.
AGUGAACGCUGGCGGUAGGCCUAACACAUGCAAGUCGAACGGCAGCACAGUAAGAGCUUGCUCUUACGGGUGGCGAGUGGCGGACGGGUGAGGAAUACAUCGGAAUCUACUUUUUCGUGGGGGAUAACGUAGGGAAACUUACGCUAAUACCGCAUACGACCUACGGGUGAAAGCAGGGGAUCUUCGGACCUUGCGCGAUUGAAUGAGCCGAUGUCGGAUUAGCUAGUUGGCGGGGUAAAGGCCCACCAAGGCGACGAUCCGUAGCUGGUCUGAGAGGAUGAGCAGCCACACUGGAACUGGGACACGGUCCAGACUCCUACGGGAGGCAGAAGUGGGGAAUAUUGGACAAUGGGCGCAAGCCUGAUCCAGCCAUACCGCGUGGGUGAAGAAGGCCUUCGGGUUGUAAAGCCCUUUUGUUGGGAAAGAAAAGCAGCAGGUUAAUACCCCGCUGUUCUGACGGUACCCAAAGAAUAAGCACCGGCUAACCUCGUG